CCAGGUAAAUCCGGUUCACUUUAACACUGAGGCGUGACGACGAGGCACUACGGUGCUGAAGCAACAAAUGCCCUGCUUCCAGGAAAAGCCUCUAAGCAUCAGGUAACAUCAAAUCGUACCCCAAACCGACACAGGUGGUCAGGUAGAGAAUACCAAGGCGCUUGAGAGAACUCGGGUGAAGGAACUAGGCAAAAUGGUGCCGUAACUUCGGGAGAAGGCACGCUGACACGUAGGUGAAGUGAUUUACUCAUGGAGCUGAAGUCAGUCGAAGAUACCAGCUGGCUGCAACUGUUUAUUAAAAACACAGCACUGUGCAAACACGAAAGUGGACGUAUACGGUGUGACGCCUGCCCGGUGCCGGAAGGUUAAUUGAUGGGGUCAGCGCAAGCGAAGCUCCUGAUCGAAGCCCCGGUAAACGGCGGCCGUAACUAUAACGGUCCUAAGGUAGCGAAAUUCCUUGUCGGGUAAGUUCCGACCUGCACGAAUGGCGUAAUGAUGGCCAGGCUGUCUCCACCCGAGACUCAGUGAAAUUGAACUCGCUGUGAAGAUGCAGUGUACCCGCGGCAAGACGGAAAGACCCCGUGAACCUUUACUAUAGCUUGACACUGAACAUUGAGCCUUGAUGUGUAGGAUAGGUGGGAGGCUUUGAAGCGUGGACGCCAGUCUGCGUGGAGCCGACCUUGAAAUACCACCCUUUAAUGUUUGAUGUUCUAACGUGGACCCGUGAUCCGGGUUGCGGACAGUGUCUGGUGGGUAGUUUGACUGGGGCGGUCUCCUCCUAAAGAGUAACGGAGGAGCACGAAGGUUGGCUAAUCCUGGUCGGACAUCAGGAGGUUAGUGCAAUGGCAUAAGCCAGCUUGACUGCGAGCGUGACGGCGCGAGCAGGUGCGAAAGCAGGUCAUAGUGAUCCGGUGGUUCUGAAUGGAAGGGCCAUCGCUCAACGGAUAAAAGGUACUCCGGGGAUAACAGGCUGAUACCGCCCAAGAGUUCAUAUCGACGGCGGUGUUUGGCACCUCGAUGUCGGCUCAUCACAUCCUGGGGCUGAAGUAGGUCCCAAGGGUAUGGCUGUUCGCCAUUUAAAGUGGUACGCGAGCUGGGUUUAGAACGUCGUGAGACAGUUCGGUCCCUAUCUGCCGUGGGCGCUGGAGAACUGAGGGGGGCUGCUCCUAGUACGAGAGGACCGGAGUGGACGCAUCACUGGUGUUCGGGUUGUCAUGCCAAUGGCACUGCCCGGUAGCUAAAUGCGGAAGAGAUAAGUGCUGAAAGCAUCUAAGCACGAAACUUGCCCCGA
Molecule: ribosomal RNA, 1291 nt
Filed under: Salmonella enterica subsp. enterica serovar Kottbus
Lineage: Bacteria; Pseudomonadati; Pseudomonadota; Gammaproteobacteria; Enterobacterales; Enterobacteriaceae
Description: partial 23S ribosomal RNA
Rfam family: Bacterial large subunit ribosomal RNA
Source: RNAcentral